This 460-nucleotide ribosomal RNA is filed under the name uncultured bacterium. RNAcentral's name for it is "partial 16S ribosomal RNA". It matches the Rfam family "Bacterial small subunit ribosomal RNA", at positions 338 to 795 of the family's 1533-position model. The record is from RNAcentral.
CCUACGGGAGGCAGCAGUGAGGAAUAUUGGUCAAUGGACGGAAGUCUGAACCAGCCAUGCCGCGUGCAGGAUGACGGCUCUAUGAGUUGUAAACUGCUUUUGUACGAGAAUAAAAGCUGUUACGUGUAGGGGUUUGAACGUAUCGUACGAAUAAGGAUCGGCUAACUCCGUGCCAGCAGCCGCGGUAAUACGGAGGAUUCGAGCGUUAUCCGGAUUUAUUGGGUUUAAAGGGUGCGUAGGCGGUUGGAUAAGUUAGAGGUCAAAUGCCGGGGCUUAACCCCGGACCUGCCUCUGAUACUGUUCGGCUAGAGAGCGGUUGCAGUAGGCGGAAUGAGUGGUGUAGCGGUGAAAUGCUUAGAUAUUACUCAGAACACCGAUUGCGCAGGCAGCUUGCCAAUCCGCCUCUGACGCUGAGGCACGAAAGCGUGGGUAGCGAACAGGAUUAGAUACCCGAGUAGUC